GACGAACGCUGGCGGCGCGCUUAACACAUGCAAGUCGAACGGAAAGGCCUGCUUUCCCUUGUGGAUUGCGGGUACUCGAGUGGCGAACGGGUGAGUAACACGUGAGUGAUCUGCCCCCAACUUGGGUAUAAGCCUGGGAAACUGGGUCUAAUUCCCGAUAGGACUGCAGGGUGGUGCCUGUGGUGGAAAACGAUUUUCUAGUGGUUGGGGAUGAGCUCGCGGCCUAUCAGCUUGUUGGUGGGGUAAUGGCCUACCAAGGCGGCGACGGGUAGCCGGCCUGAGAGGGUGGACGGCGACAUUGGGACUGAGAUACGGCCCAGACUCCUGCGGGAGGCAGCAGUGGGGACUAUUGCACAGUGGGCGGAAGCCUGAUGCAGCGACGCAGCGUGGGGGAUGACGGCCUUCGGGUUGUAAGCUCCUUUCGACCGCGAGGAAGCCACCUGGUUGGAAGGGUGGUGACGGUAGUGGUAGAAGAAGCACCGGCUAACUACGUG
Molecule: ribosomal RNA, 494 nt
Filed under: uncultured bacterium
Lineage: Bacteria
Description: partial 16S ribosomal RNA
Rfam family: Bacterial small subunit ribosomal RNA
Source: RNAcentral